AAUAACUUCAAGUUCAAAGUUUUGUUCAGAUGCGUGACAAAUGAACGCGUACAGUGAGUAAAUAGAAGUGAAUCAAACUACGAGAUUUACUUUUCCACUGGCACUAGGCGUAGAAUACCAUGGCGAGCUACUGGUAGGAAAUUAAAUAUUGAAUUCAUGUGCCUGGCUCUCUUGUGAUCGCGGUGGACCUUGUCGCGUCUCGAAGAAGCAGUUAGUGAAGAGAGGUUGUUUUGAACGGGUGUUCACGCUUAAAUAGGCGAUGUGCUACUAGCGACCUCCAGUUAUGCCUCUGGUAAAUUAGCGAAGUAGGAGUUAACCAUGUUUGCCUGGAAUGUUCUGAAAUAUUCUAGAUUGUUCGAUCAGGAGAGAUAACCGUCGUUGACUACCAACGAAUAUUUCUGUGGACUUGCGAAUCUGUUUCAAUUAGUGCUGCCUACAAAUGCGAGCAAGAGAAAUAAUAUUCUUAAGAUUAUUAACCUGGAAAAGUUCAGGACAAGUUAUUACAUCUGGUAAAGUACAGAACAAGAAAAUUUUUACUUAAAAUAUUGCAGUUAAGGAUAAAAUUUGAAUAUUAAAAAAAACUAUUUGAUUUUAAUUUACAAAGUAACAUUAUAAUUAGAGAAGGUACUAUUAUUUUGUUAAAAUAUCAGCACACUAGAAUACUUAAAAUAUGAGAGCCAGGAGUACCAAUAUAGCUAAAGUUUUAUGCAAAGUAGAAUAGUAUGUAUGGUAGGCAAAUUCAUUAUGUAAAAAAUAGGCAUUGUUCAAGACUAAAAAUGUGAAGUCUUGGCAAUAACUCGAGCAAAUUUUACUGUGAAUUUGUUGUUAUAGGUAGAUUUUACUGUAAUAUAUAAUUAAUUUUUGUAUUAUUCUACUUAUUGUACUAAGUAUGUACUACCAUUAUUUCUUAUAACCUAUUUUCAAAUUUCUAAUUAUUGAUUAAUAAUUAAAAAUGAAUGUUUUUUAAGUGCAAAAAAUAUUUAAGUUAUUUUUUAUUUUUAAUAGAAGUAACAAGCAAUAAAUUAUAGAAGCAAUAACUUGUAAUAAAAUUUUUAGUUUUAAUAAAAGUUGGUAUUUUCUAAAUCUAAAUAUUUAAUUUAAAAUUUUAUCCUUAGCUGCAAUAUUUUAAGUAAAAAAUUUCUUGUUCUGUACCUUACCAGAUGUAAUAACUUGUCCUGAACUUUUCCAAAUGUAAUAAUUUGUCCUGUAAUUUUCCAGAUUUAUAAUCUUAAGAAUAUUAUUUCUCUUGCUCGCAUUUUUCUAUAUAAUAUAUACUUAUAUAUAUAUAUAUAUAUAUACAUAUAUACACACGUAUAUACGAGGCAAAUCCCAUUAUUCAUGUCAACCAUGUGCUUAUUUGAUCAAAAUAAUACCGCAGUGGAUAUAAUGAUCGGAGUGAAUAAAUUAUAUAUAUAUAUGUGUAUACAUAAUUAAGGAUAAAAUCAUUAUGAAAAUAACGGUCCUAUCAGUGGCCAGCAUAUAAUAAAAUCCUUAUAGGUAAUAAUUAAUAUAGAUAUAUAAUUAUAUACAUAUAAUUAUAAUUAAGUGUACUGAGAAACAGCACCAACGUUAUAAUUAUAUCUAUAUUAAUUUUUACCUCUCUGAGUGGUUGGCAUUAGGAAGGGCAUCCAGCUGUAGAAACUCUGCCAAAUUAGAUUGGAGCCUGGUGUUGCCAUCCGGUUUCACCAGUCCUCAGUCAAAUCGUCCAACCCAUGCUAGCAUGGAAAGCGGACGUUAAACGAUGAUGAUGAUGAUGAUAAUGGUUCUUAUUACAUGCUGGCCACUGAUAGGGUUGUUAUUUUUAUAAUGAUGUUAUUUUUAAUUAUGUAUACACAUAUAUAUCAUUAUAUAUAUAUAUAUAUAUUUUGUUUUGGGAUUUGGCUUGCAGGAUUCUUUAUGUGAGUUCGUGUGUUGAAGCAUAUUCUGUUGUGUCUGGGGAGAGUCAUUCUCUUUUGGUGCCUUAUAAUUUAACACACUCACCGUGCAAAUCAUUUUGAAGACUGCGGAAUAAAGGAUAAUCAGAUGGGACGAUGUCUGGCAAAUAUAGUGGAUGGAGCAUCAUUUCCCAUUCAAUCUGCUCUAGUCUUUGGAAUGUCCUCCUCACUGUAUGUGGAAGAACACCUUUCAUCUUGAAACCAAAGAUGGUCAUUUUUUUUUCAGCACUGACUUAAGCCACUUAAUCUGCUCGCAGUAUAUCUCCCUUGUUAUCAUUUGGUUUGGGUUUAAAAGUUCAAAGUGGACUAAACUUGUCAUAUAUCACCAAACAGAUAACAACACCUUAUGUGGUGAAGACCUUCUUUAGCUUGGGGUGCCAGUGUUUCUCCUUUCCCUCCCCACUGUCUUCGAUGCUUGUCAUUUUUAUAGAGAACCCAUUUCUCAUCACCAGUCACUAUUCGGUCCAAAACAGAUUCAUUCUUGAGACGUGACAGCAAAGAAGAGCACACAUUCACCCUCUGCACUCAAUUAGACACAGAAAGUUUGUGAGGAAGCUGUUGACCCAAUUUGCUGACUUUUCUGAUGGCACGUAGGUGUUGAUAAAUGGUUGAAUGAUCAAAUCCAAGCUUCUCUGCUAGUUCCUCAACAGUUAUGAUAGGAUUUGCAGGACAUCUUCAUUGAGAUCUCUCAGAUCUUCCAGGAUGAAGCUCAUCUUCUAGGCUGUAGUUUCCACCUUCGAAUUUCUGGAACCACCAUUGACGUUGGCUUACGCUUAUUGUCCGAUCUCCAUAUACUGCAUUAAUAUUCCUUGCACUUUCCAUUGCAUUGUUGCCUUUAUUGAAUUCAUAAAGCCAAAUAUACUCCUUUGUCACUUCCAUUAUAGCUUUGAAAAAAUAACUGUUAAAAUUGAACUGCCCUCUUCAAACCUAGCCUUGCACUAAAAAUAAGUAUUAGGUAAAAAUUACCUCCUGCCUUUAUAGCAAGUUGAGGCAGGUAGUUUAUCCCGUCCCCCUCCAACUUCUUAGUUCAUGCAAUUGAAAAAAAAACACAUUAUUCAUGGGCUGACCCAGUAUGUGUAUCACUAGCCACUACACAUUUUUUAUUUUCUCUCCUUGUUUCUUUCUGUGUUCCUUUCUGUGGAAGAGCAUAAGCUCAAAAAUUAAAGACUUUUUCACUUCUUGAGCAUUAAACUAAUACAUCUUUUUUGUUGUCUACAC
Octopus bimaculoides (California two-spot octopus) is the source of this 3152-nucleotide long non-coding RNA. RefSeq lists it as uncharacterized. Lineage: Eukaryota; Metazoa; Mollusca; Cephalopoda; Octopoda; Octopodidae. The record is from RefSeq and is a predicted model, not a curated record.